Drosophila yakuba is the source of this 549-nucleotide long non-coding RNA. RefSeq lists it as uncharacterized. The record is from RefSeq and is a predicted model, not a curated record. NCBI's taxonomy places the organism in Eukaryota, Metazoa, Arthropoda, Insecta, Diptera, Drosophilidae. The transcript is spliced from 3 exons.
UAUAAAAAACUAUCUUUUCCGACCCAAGCCGCGUGUGUCCCGAAAAAGUGCAUAGAAACUUUAGAAAAAUCUAACGGCAUCCGCGACCUAAUCAGCUAAUUUAGCUAACAGGCGCACACCCGCCAAUCCCGAGCUAAAAAAGGCCCAAUACCGCGUGCUAUCACGGCUGGCUGCUCCGGCAUUGCCUUACAUAAAGGCCUUAGGAUUAAAUUCAACUAUAUCAGUCAAACAUAGGGCAGCUCUACCUCCCAUUUUCAUCAUCGCCUUACAAAAGGGCUAGCAACAACCCUUUCGACCCAGCAGCUAUUUUUAGCGUGGUCGCAGCAACACAAUUCAAGCUUUAACUUCGUCGCCUGUUGUUGUAUCCUACCCGCGCUAUUCAAGGCGGCUGAGCAGCGCGAAGGUAAGAUCAACGUCCACAACUGCGACGAGGGAGGAAUCUUCGCCAGGCCAGGAUCGACAGAUACUUAAAACCAAGAUAAACCCCUUUGCCAUUUGACUAAAUUUUAUUUUUAUUAAAGCUUUUAGGCUAGUGUUGGCGCUUUUGUU